Molecule: long non-coding RNA, 521 nt
Filed under: Cicer arietinum (chickpea)
Lineage: Eukaryota; Viridiplantae; Streptophyta; Magnoliopsida; Fabales; Fabaceae
Description: long non-coding RNA (CARI_LNC003160)
Source: RNAcentral
GAAAAUUUGGUUACUUUCCACCCGAUUGGAUUGCUUGUUGGCGUUUUGGAUUAAAUAAUAUUAUAAGACUUAUGCAAUCGGUUGAACAAUAUCAAAUAUAAGUUGAUGCAUGUUCUCUUGAAAGGUACUACUUGUCAAAUUUACUCAAAUAAUGAUGUUAUUAUAUUCAUACUAUUGAUUUAUAUAACAUUACUUCUAAUACACACCCUAUAUCAAAUUUCGGUACACAGGAAUAUUCAAUCGAAGGUUAAAGACAUUUGUUGAAGAGAAAGAGUUUAAGGCAAAUGAAAGAGGAAAACAAAUAAUUGUUGAGCAAAAUGAAUCAAAUGACAAUGAUGAGGAGAAUAUCAUUUUUCUAUAUAUUUAAAUAUAUUUUGUUUGUCAUAGUUGGAUUUCAUCACAUGCUUGGUUAAUUAAUAGAAAAAUGAAUCAGAUGCCAAUGAUUAAUAGCAAGAUUUUGGCCAAAGGAAAACGCAAAAUUCAAAGACUAGAAUAUGAUAUCGAUGAACUUCCAAUCCGAA